This 1904-nucleotide ribosomal RNA is filed under the name human gut metagenome. RNAcentral describes it as "bacterial LSU rRNA". It matches the Rfam family "Bacterial large subunit ribosomal RNA", at positions 3 to 1991 of the family's 2925-position model. The record is from RNAcentral.
UCAAGCUAGAAAGAGCGCAAGGGGAAUGCCUUGGCAUCAGGAGCCGAUGAAGGACGCGACAAGCUGCGAUAAGCUUCGGGUAGCUGCAAAUAAGCGAUGAUCCGGAGAUUUCCGAAUGGGGCAACCCGGCACGGCAAUACCGUGUCAGCGUGCACUGAAUAAAAUAGGUGCACGUGGGGAACCGCCUGAACUGAAACAUCUAAGUAGGGCGAGGAAAAGACAUCAACCGAGAUUCCGCAAGUAGUGGCGAGCGAACGCGGAGAAGGCCAAACCAGAGGUCAUUGAUCUCUGGGGUAUGGACUUGCAUCACGAUCAGAGGUAUCUAGUCGAAUGGCGUGGGAAAGCCAACCACAGAGGGUGAGAGUCCCGUAGACGAAAGAGAAGACUGACAGCGAGUAUCCAGAGUACCGCCGGACACGUGAAACCCGGUGGGAACAUGGGAGGACCACCUUCCAAGCCUAAAUACUACCUGAUGACCGAUAGUGGAGCAGUACCGUGAGGGAAAGGUGAAAAGAACCCCGGGAGGGGAGUGAAAUAGUACCUGAAACCUUGUGCUUACAAGCAGUCAGAGCACGUUAAAGUGUGAUGGCGUACCUUUUGUAGAAUGGUCCGGCGAGUUAUAGUCACUGGCGAGGUUAAGCAAUUCAGUUGUGGAGCCGAAGGGAAACCGAGUCUUAAUAGGGCGUCGAGUCAGUGGCCAUAGACCUGAAACCGGGUGACCUAUCCAUGAGCAGGUUGAAGUUGGUGUAAAAGCCAAUGGAGGACCGAACCCACGUUCGUUGCAAUGACCGGGGAUGACUUGUGGAUAGCGGAGAAAUUCCAAUCGAACUCGGAGAUAGCUGGUUCUCCCCGAAAUAGCUUUAGGGCUAGCGUUAUUUUAGAUUACCGGAGGUAAAGCACUGAAUGGUCUAGGGGCCGCGAGGUUACCAAAGCCUAUCAAACUCUGAAUGCCGGAUAAUUGAUGAAUAGCAGUCAGACUGUGUGAGAUAAGUCUCAUAGUCAAAAGGGAAACAGCCCAGAUCUACAGCUAAGGUCCCAAAUGAACACUAAGUGGAAAAUGAUGUGAAACUGCGAAGACAACCAGGAUGUUGGCUUAGAAGCAGCCACUCAUUCAAAGAGUGCGUAAUAGCUCACUGGUCGAGUGGUUUUGCGCAGAAAAUGUAACGGGGCUAAGUGUUCAACCGAAGCUUAGGCAUUGCAGUAAUGCAUUGGGUAGGGGAGCGUCGUAUGCGGGGCGAAGUCAGAGCGGAAGCACUGGUGGACUGCAUACGAGUGAGAAUGCCGGAAUAAGUAGCGAGAAUUAUGUGAGAAUCAUAAUGGCCGAAAAUCUAAGGUUUCUUGGGGAAGGUUCGUCCGCCCAAGGUUAGUCGGGAGCUAAGCUCAGGCCGAAAGGCGUAGGCGAUGCACAUACGGUAGAAAUUCCGUAACCACCGAACAUUUAAGCUAGAGGGACGCUUUCUUUAAGGUUAUCCCGGGCGAUGGUUGCCCCGGGCGUAAGGGACCGAAAUAUAGUAGGGAAGUAACUGGCGAGAGAGACGAGAAAAGCUCUAGUGUAUACUAAGGUGCCCGUACCGCAAACCGACACAGGUAGAUGGGAUGAGUAUUCUAAGGCCAACGGGAGAAGGGUUGUUAAGGAACUCGGCAAAUUGGCCCCGUAACUUCGGGAUAAGGGGCGCCUGCGAGAGCAGGCCGCAGUGAAAAGGCCCAAGCGACUGUUUAGCAAAAACACAGCUCUCUGCUAAAUCGAAAGAUGACGUAUAGGGGGUGACGCCUGCCCGGUGCUGGAAGGUUAAGGGGAGUGCUUAGCGCAAGCGAAGGUGCGAACUUAAGCCCCAGUAAACGGCGGCCGUAACUAUAACGGUCCUAAGGUAGCGAAAUUCCUUGUCAGGUAAGUUCUGACCCGC